Molecule: ribosomal RNA, 468 nt
Filed under: uncultured bacterium
Lineage: Bacteria
Description: partial 16S ribosomal RNA
Rfam family: Bacterial small subunit ribosomal RNA
Source: RNAcentral
GACGAACGCUGGCGGCGUGCUUAACACAUGCAAGUCGAACGGAAAGGCCCUGCUUUUGUGGGGUGCUCGAGUGGCGAACGGGUGAGUAACACGUGAGUAACCUGCCCUUGACUUUGGGAUAACUUCAGGAAACUGGGGCUAAUACAGGAUAGGAGCUAUUGCUGCAUGGUGGGGGUUGGAAAGUUUCGGCGGUUGGGGCUGGACUAGCAGCUUAUCCGCUUGUUGGUGGGGUAGUGGCUUACCAAGGCUUUGACGGGUAGCCGGCCUGAGAGGGUGUCCGGCCACAUGGGUACUGCGGUACGGCCCAGACUCCUACGGGAGGCAGCAGUGGGGAAUAUUGCGCAGUGGGCGGAAGCCAGAGGCAGCAACGCCGCGUGCGGGAUAACGUCCUUCUGGUUGUAAACCGCUUUCUCCUGUGACGAGGCGUGAGUGACGGUAAUGGGUAAAGAAGCACCGGCUAACUACGUG